CCUACGGGGGGCAGCAGUGGGGAAUAUUGGACAAUGGGGGAACCCUGAUCCAGCCAUGCCGCGUGUGUGAAGAAGGCCCUCGGGUUGUAAAGCACUUUCAGUGAGGAAGAACGCCUGGUGGUUAAUACCCAUCAGGAAAGACAUCACUCACAGAAGAAGCACCGGCUAACUCCGUGCCAGCAGCCGCGGUAAUACGGAGGGUGCGAGCGUUAAUCGGAAUUACUGGGCGUAAAGCGCGCGUAGGUGGCUUGAUAAGCCGGUUGUGAAAGCCCCGGGCUCAACCUGGGAACGGCAUCCGGAACUGUCAAGCUAGAGUGCAGGAGAGGACGGUAGAAUUCCCGGUGUAGCGGUGAAAUGCGUAGAGAUCGGGAGGAAUACCAGUGGCGAAGGCGGCCUUCUGGACUGACACUGACACUGAGGUGCGAAAGCGUGGGUAGCAAACAGGAUUAGAUACCCGUGUAGUC
This 464-nucleotide ribosomal RNA is filed under the name Vreelandella stevensii. Its description in RNAcentral is "partial 16S ribosomal RNA". It matches the Rfam family "Bacterial small subunit ribosomal RNA", at positions 338 to 795 of the family's 1533-position model. The record is from RNAcentral. Lineage: Bacteria; Pseudomonadati; Pseudomonadota; Gammaproteobacteria; Oceanospirillales; Halomonadaceae.